This 243-nucleotide unclassified non-coding RNA is filed under the name uncultured fungus. RNAcentral describes it as "sequence contains ITS2". Lineage: Eukaryota; Fungi. The record is from RNAcentral.
AACGCAUCUUGCGCCUAUUAGUAUUCUAGUAGGCAUGCCUAUUCGAGCGUCGUUUCUAUUCUCAACUAAUUUAUAGUUGGUGUUAGAAGCUAGGAUAAUACCAGCUUCUUAAAUUUAAUAGCUAUUGUAUCUGGCGUUCUUCUACAAAGUAAUCAUACCUGUUUAAGAACACAUUUAUAUUAGUAUUAAUUAUGAUUUAUAUUAGUUGACCUCGAAUUAGGUAGGAAUACCCGCUGAACUUAA